AUCAUACUUCCUCCGUCCCAAAAUUAUUGUAUUUGUUUAGAUACGAAUGUAUCUAAUACUAAAACAUGACUUGAUACAUCCGUAUUUAGACAAAUCUAAGACAAGUAUUUUAGAACAAAGGGAGUACUUU
This is a non-coding RNA of Triticum aestivum (bread wheat), 130 nucleotides long. The record is from Rfam. Lineage: Eukaryota; Viridiplantae; Streptophyta; Magnoliopsida; Poales; Poaceae.